Long non-coding RNA from Priapulus caudatus, 298 nucleotides. RefSeq lists it as uncharacterized. Lineage: Eukaryota; Metazoa; Priapulida; Priapulimorpha; Priapulimorphida; Priapulidae. The record is from RefSeq and is a predicted model, not a curated record. The transcript has 3 exons.
GAAGAAGAAGAAGAAGAAGAAGAAGAAGAAGAAGACAGGAAUCCCUGGAGAUAUCGCCCAUCAUCUACUGACCUAACAAGAGCCAUGACGUCAACGCAAAUACUGACGUCACCGCUUCAAGUCCUCUUCCUACUCUUACUUGGAUUCGCCGCCGUGAAAUCAGAGUCGGCGAGACAUAGAUCAGUGCAAGCGAAGCUGAUGAGCAUAUACGACUCGCCGCGAACUCGCUUCGUACCGCGAAGAAUCAUGAGAUCAUAUGAACAACACGACGCGGUCCCAGCCGUUCAAGGUUUGAUAU